CCCGGGUCUGAGCUUUAGCCAAAUUGUACAGAGGACUGGCCAUGAACAGAGGCAAAAUGACCAGCCAGGAGAAGCAAACCAUCUAAAAAUCACAUCCCGUCA
This 102-nucleotide long non-coding RNA is filed under the name Cairina moschata (Muscovy duck). Its description in RNAcentral is "domestica (muscovy Duck (domestic type)) lncRNA (ENSCMMG00000003808.1)". The record is from RNAcentral. Lineage: Eukaryota; Metazoa; Chordata; Aves; Anseriformes; Anatidae.